GUUAGUGGCAGACGGGUGAGUAAUGCGUAGGAAUCUACCUAGUAGUACGGAAUAGCCAUUAGAAAUGGUGGGUAAUACUGUAUAAUCCCCGAGGGGGAAAGAUUUAUCGCUAUUAGAUGAGCCUACGUUAGAUUAGCUAGUUGGUGAGGUAAUGGCUUACCAAGGCUAUGAUCUAUAGCUGGUCUGGGAGGACGAUCAGCCACACUGGAACUGAGAUACGGUCCAGACUCCUACGGGAGGCAGCAGUGGGGAAUAUUGGACAAUGGGCGAAAGCCUGAUCCAGCUAUGCCGCGUGAGUGAAGAAGGCCUUCGGGU
Molecule: ribosomal RNA, 315 nt
Filed under: Ehrlichia canis
Lineage: Bacteria; Pseudomonadati; Pseudomonadota; Alphaproteobacteria; Rickettsiales; Anaplasmataceae
Description: bacterial SSU rRNA
Rfam family: Bacterial small subunit ribosomal RNA
Source: RNAcentral